CCCGACGAGCUCGAGCGCGCCGCGACAACAAUUCUUCUUCCUCAAAGCAUAUAUUUUCUCCAAGCGAUCAACAAAGUGUUUGGUCCAUUUGGAAGGUACUUGAUGCCUCUUGGUCAGAAGAUGAUGGCGAGUUCCUUAUUCCAAUUGAGUUUAUAUUGUGUAGGUUUCUUCGUCAU
Non-coding RNA from Triticum urartu, 176 nucleotides. The record is from RefSeq and is a predicted model, not a curated record. Lineage: Eukaryota; Viridiplantae; Streptophyta; Magnoliopsida; Poales; Poaceae.